UAAUAAGUAAGCUAAUAAAAAGCUAAUGGGUUCAUACCUCAUAAAUGGAAAAUGAUAGC
Molecule: transfer RNA, 59 nt
Filed under: Cyriopagopus schmidti (Chinese earth tiger)
Lineage: Eukaryota; Metazoa; Arthropoda; Arachnida; Araneae; Theraphosidae
Also listed under: 1 other name
Description: Haplopelma schmidti (Chinese earth tiger) tRNA-Met
Source: RNAcentral